CCUACGGGAGGCAGCAGUGGGGAAUUUUGGACAAUGGGGGCAACCCUGAUCCAGCGAUGCCGCGUGCAGGAAGAAGGCCUUCGGGUUGUAAACUGCUUUUGUACGGAACGAAAAGGCUCUGGCUAAUACCUGGGGCACAUGACGGUACCGUAAGAAUAAGCACCGGCUAACUACGUGCCAGCAGCCGCGGUAAUACGUAGGGUGCAAGCGUUAAUCGGAAUUACUGGGCGUGAAGCGUGCGCAGGCGGUGCUGUAAGACAGGCGUGAAAUCCCCGGGCUCAACCUGGGAAUUGCGCUUGUGACUGCAGUGCUGGAGUGCGGCAGAGGGGGAUGGAAUUCCGCGUGUAGCAGUGAAAUGCGUAGAUAUGCGGAGGAACACCGAUGGCGAAGGCAAUCCCCUGGGCCUGCACUGACGCUCAUGCACGAAAGCGUGGGGAGCAAACAGGAUUAGAUACCCUGGUAGUCCACGCCCUAAACGAUGUCAACUGGUUGUUGGGUCUCUUCUGACUCAGUAACGAAGCUAACGCGUGAAGUUGACCGCCUGGGGAGUACGGCCGCAAGGUUGAAACUCAAAUGAAUUGACGG
Molecule: ribosomal RNA, 585 nt
Filed under: uncultured bacterium
Lineage: Bacteria
Description: bacterial SSU rRNA
Rfam family: Bacterial small subunit ribosomal RNA
Source: RNAcentral